Non-coding RNA from Picea glauca (white spruce), 118 nucleotides. Lineage: Eukaryota; Viridiplantae; Streptophyta; Pinopsida; Pinales; Pinaceae. The record is from Rfam.
UAAUGUAAUUCCUACAACAUUAAUGCACUGGAUCCCAUUAGAACUUCGCAAUUAAACGUGCUUCGAUUAAAGUAGUACUGGGAUGGGUGACCUCCCGGGAAGUCAAGUAGUAUUUUAC